Molecule: long non-coding RNA, 206 nt
Filed under: Ananas comosus (pineapple)
Lineage: Eukaryota; Viridiplantae; Streptophyta; Magnoliopsida; Poales; Bromeliaceae
Description: long non-coding RNA (ACOM_LNC041015)
Source: RNAcentral
AUAUAAAAUUCUCUGAUCAACUCCAAACAAAAACCAGUUUGCUCCGGGAAAUCACAAAUCUGAUAAAGAUUUUCCUGUUCAAAUAAAUCCUGAAAUCCCGGCACACAGCUAAUGAUACUGGCAACCCCAACAUCUCGCUCACCAAUGCAGUGUUUCAACGAGUACAUGGACCGUCGAGCAGAAGGAAUAUCCUGCAGACUGUGACG